This 253-nucleotide ribosomal RNA is filed under the name uncultured bacterium. RNAcentral's name for it is "partial 16S ribosomal RNA". It matches the Rfam family "Bacterial small subunit ribosomal RNA", at positions 524 to 776 of the family's 1533-position model. The record is from RNAcentral.
GACGAACCGAGCGAACGUUGUUCGGAAUCACUGGGCUUAAAGGGCGCGUAGGCGGGUGCUCAAGUCUGUGGUGAAAUCCUCCGGCUCAACCGGAGAACGGCCAUGGAUACUGGGUGUCUCGAGGGUGAUAGGGGUAUGCGGAACUAUCGGUGGAGCGGUGAAAUGCGUUGAUAUCGAUAGGAACUCCGGUGGCGAAGGCGGCAUACUGGAUCACUUCUGACGCUGAGGCGCGAAAGCCAGGGGAGCGAACGGG